CCUAAAUACUAAUACCAGAUCGAUAGUGCACAAGUACCGUGAGGGAAAGGUGAAAAGAACUGAGGUGAUCAGAGUGAAAUAGAACCUGAAACCAUUUGCUUACAAUCAUUCAGAGCCCUAUGUAGCAAUACAGGGUGAUGGACUGCCUUUUGCAUAAUGAGCCUGCGAGUUGUGGUGUCUGGCAAGGUUAAGCAAACGCGAAGCCGUAGCGAAAGCGAGUCUGAAUAGGGCGCUUAGUCAGAUGCUGCAGACCCGAAACGAAGUGAUCUAUCCAUGAGCAAGUUGAAGCUAGUGUAAGAACUAGUGGAGGACUGAACCCAUAGGCGUUGAAAAGCCCCGGGAUGACUUGUGGAUAGGGGUGAAAGGCCAAUCAAACUUCGUGAUAGCUGGUUCUCUCCGAAAUAUAUUUAGGUAUAGCGUUGUGUCGUAAUAUAAGGGGGUAGAGCACUGAAUGGGCUAGGGCAUACACCAAUGUACCAAACCCUAUCAAACUCCGAAUACCUUAUAUGUAAUCACAGCAGUCAGGCGGCGAGUGAUAAAAUCCGUCGUCAAGAGGGAAACAACCCAGACUACCAGCUAAGGUCCCUAAAUCUUACUUAAGUGGAAAACGAUGUGAAGUUACUUAAACAACCAGGAGGUUGGCUUAGAAGCAGCCAUCCUUUAAAGAAAGCGUAAUAGCUCACUGGUCUAGUGAUUUUGCGCGGAAAAUAUAACGGGGCUAAAGUAAGUACCGAAGCUGUAGACUUGCGCACAACUUAGAUUAUUUAAGUUUAGAAUAUGAGAAACUAAGUUAUAUGUUUAGUUAUAUUUUUACUGAUUUUUAUAGAGUAAAGAUAGAAAUAAAACUUAGUAAAAUCAGUAAAAAUAUUCUUAGACUAAAGUUAAGUAGUUUAAGUUGUGUGCAAGUGGUAGGAGAGCGUUCUAUUUGCGUCGAAGGUAUACCGGUAAGGAGUGCUGGAGCGAAUAGAAGUGAGCAUGCAGGCAUGAGUAGCGAUAAUUAAUGUGAGAAUCAUUAACGCCGUAAACCCAAGGUUUCCUACGCGAUGCUCGUCAUCGUAGGGUUAGUCGGGUCCUAAGUCGAGUCCGAAAGGGGUAGACGAUGGCAAAUUGGUUAAUAUUCCAAUACCAACAUUAGUGUGCGAUGGAAGGACGCUUAGGGCUAAGGGGGCUAGCGGAUGGAAGUGCUAGUCUAAGGUCGUAGGAGGUUAUACAGGCAAAUCCGUAUAACAAUACUCCGAGAACUGAAAGGCUUUUUGAAGUCUUCGGAUGGAUAGAAGAACCCCUGAUGCCGUCGAGCCAAGAAAAGUUUCUAAGUUUAGCUAAUGUUGCCCGUACCGUAAACCGACACAGGUGGGUGGGAUGAGUAUUCUAAGGCGCGUGGAAGAACUCUCUUUAAGGAACUCUGCAAAAUAGCACCGUAUCUUCGGUAUAAGGUGUGGUUCGCUUCGUAUUAGGAUUUACUCCGAAAGCGAAGAAACUUACAACAAAGAGUCCCUCCCGACUGUUUACCAAAAACACAGCACUCUGCUAACUCGUAAGAGGAUGUAUAGGGUGUGACGCCUGCCCGGUGCUCGAAGGUUAAUUGAUGGGGUUAGCAUUAGCGAAGCUCUUGAUCGAAGCCCGAGUAAACGGCGGCCGUAACUAUAACGGUCCUAAGGUAGCGAAAUUCCUUGUCGGUUAAAUACCGACCUGCAUGAAUGGCGUAACGAGAUGGGAGCUGUCUCAAAGAGGGAUCCAGUGAAAUUGUAGUGGAGGUGAAAAUUCCUCCUACCCGCGGCAAGACGGAAAGACCCCGUGGACCUU
This 1803-nucleotide ribosomal RNA is filed under the name Campylobacter coli. Its description in RNAcentral is "partial 23S ribosomal RNA". It matches the Rfam family "Bacterial large subunit ribosomal RNA", at positions 465 to 2101 of the family's 2925-position model. The record is from RNAcentral. Lineage: Bacteria; Pseudomonadati; Campylobacterota; Epsilonproteobacteria; Campylobacterales; Campylobacteraceae.